AUUGAACGCUGGCGGCAUGCUUUACAUAUGCAAGUCGAACGGCAGCGCGGGCUUCGGCCUGGCGGCGAGUGGCGAACGGGUGAGUAGUACAUCGGAACGUGCCCAGUAGUGGGGGAUAGCUCGGCGAAAGCCGGAUUAAUACCGCAUACGACCUGAGGGUGAAAGCGGGGGAUCUUCGGACCUCGCGCUAUUGGAGCGGCCGAUGGCAGAUUAGCUAGUUGGUGGGGUAAAGGCCUACCAAGGCGACGAUCUGUAGCUGGUCUGAGAGGACGACCAGCCACACUGGGACUGAGACACGGCCCAGACUCCUACGGGAGGCAGCAGUGGGGAAUUUUGGACAAUGGGCGAAAGCCUGAUCCAGCAAUGCCGCGUGUGUGAUGAAGGCCUUCGGGUUGUAAAGCACUUUUGGCGGGAACGAAAAGGACUGUGCCAAUACCACGGUUCGAUGACGGUACCCGCAGAAUAAGCACCGGCUAACUACGUG
Molecule: ribosomal RNA, 484 nt
Filed under: uncultured bacterium
Lineage: Bacteria
Description: partial 16S ribosomal RNA
Rfam family: Bacterial small subunit ribosomal RNA
Source: RNAcentral